UUUUCUUUUCUUUUUUUCCGUCUUCUCUCUCUGAGAAAGAGAAUAACUAAACUCCAUUAGAGUUACAGGGAAGUUUUCUUCUCUUCUCCAUACUUCAACUCCAAGAACACCACCAGUUACACUUACAAGUUACAUCACCUCUCGAUCCAGAAGAAGAAGAAGAAAAAAUCAGUGAUUGUGUUUCUACUGGUAAGUUAUCUCGCCAAGGAGAAGAUGAAGGGAAAAGAUUCAAGGAACAAUCCAACUCAGAAAUUGUUAACCAAGGCGGUACUUGGUCCUAUCAACAAUAAUGCCACCACCAGUGCUGCUGUCAUGGAAUAGAUUUUCAAGACUUUGUUUUUGCCUUUUGCCACCGGUGCUAGUGUGCUACUGCUACUUGUUAGAUUAGUUGUUACUUUGCUACUUGUUACAUACUGCCAGUCUUUGACUCUUUUGCUACUUGUUACUUUUUCAAUUUUCAAGACUUGGUAUUUGAGACUUUUCUUUGCUGGUAUUAAUUUUAUUGCUACUUGUUGUCA
This is a long non-coding RNA of Papaver somniferum (opium poppy), 518 nucleotides long. RefSeq lists it as uncharacterized. Lineage: Eukaryota; Viridiplantae; Streptophyta; Magnoliopsida; Ranunculales; Papaveraceae. The transcript has 3 exons. The record is from RefSeq and is a predicted model, not a curated record.